GAACGCUGGCGGCGGCCUACACAUGCAAGUCGAACGGUAACAUUUCUAGCUUGCUAGAAGAUGACGAGUGGCGGACGGGUGAGUAAUGCUUGGGAACUUGCCUUUGCGAGGGGGAUAACAGUUGGAAACGACUGCUAAUACCGCAUAAUGUCUUCGGACCAAACGGGGCUUCGGCUCCGGCGCAAAGAGAGGCCCAAGUGAGAUUAGCUAGUUGGUAAGGUAACGGCUUACCAAGGCGACGAUCUCUAGCUGUUCUGAGAGGAAGAUCAGCCACACUGGGACUGAGACACGGCCCAGACUCCUACGGGAGGCAGCAGUGGGGAAUAUUGCACAAUGGGGGAAACCCUGAUGCAGCCAUGCCGCGUGUGUGAAGAAGGCCUUCGGGUUGUAAAGCACUUUCAGUUGUGAGGAAAAGUUAGUAGUUAAUACCUGCUAGCCGUGACGUUAACAACAGAAGAAGCACCGGCUAACUCCGUGCCAGCAGCCGCGGUAAUACGGAGGGUGCGAGCGUUAAUCGGAAUUACUGGGCGUAAAGCGCACGCAGGCGGUUUGUUAAGCUAGAUGUGAAAGCCCCGGGCUCAACC
This 584-nucleotide ribosomal RNA is filed under the name uncultured bacterium. RNAcentral describes it as "bacterial SSU rRNA". It matches the Rfam family "Bacterial small subunit ribosomal RNA", at positions 31 to 614 of the family's 1533-position model. The record is from RNAcentral.